RNAcentral lists this ribosomal RNA (492 nucleotides) under uncultured bacterium. RNAcentral describes it as "partial 16S ribosomal RNA". It matches the Rfam family "Bacterial small subunit ribosomal RNA", at positions 29 to 507 of the family's 1533-position model. The record is from RNAcentral.
AGUGAACGCUGGCGGUAGGCCUAACACAUGCAAGUCGAACGACAGCACAGUAAGAGCUUGCUCUUACGGGUGGCGAGUGGCGGACGGGUGGGGAAUACAUCGGAAUCUACUUUUUCGUGGGGGAUAACGUAGGGAAACUUACGCUAAUACCGCAUACGACCUACGGGUGAAAGCAGGGGAUCUUCGGACCUUGCGCGAUUGAAUGAGCCGAUGUCGGAUUAGCUAGUUGGCGGGGUAAAGGCCCACCAAGGCGACGAUCCGUAGCUGGUCUGAGAGGAUGAUCAGCCACACUGGAACUGAGACACGGUCCAGACUCCUACGGGAGGCAGCAGUGGGGAAUAUUGGACAAUGGGCGCAAGCCUGAUCCAGCCAUACCGCGUGGGUGAAGAAGGCCUUCGGGUUGUAAAGCCCUUUUGUUGGGAAAGAAAAGCAGCAGGUUAAUACCCCGCUGUUCUGACGGUACCCAAAGAAUAAGCACCGGCUAACUUCGUG